UGGGGAAUCUUGCGCAAUGGGCGAAAGCCUGACGCAGCAACGCCGCGUGAGGGAAGAAGGCCUUCGGGUUGUAAACCUCUUUCAGGAGGGACGAAGCUUCCGGGGUUAAUAGCCUACGGGGUGACGGUACCUCCAGAAGAAGCCCCGGCUAACUACGUGCCAGCAGCCGCGGUAAUACGUAGGGGGCAAGCGUUGUCCGGAAUCAUUGGGCGUAAAGCGCGUGUAGGCGGCUUGGUAAGUCUGGCGUGAAAUCUUGGGGCUCAACCCCAAGCCUGCGCUGGAUACUGCCUCGCUCGAGUCCGGGAGAGGAAAGCGGAAUUCCCAGUGUAGCGGUGAAAUGCGCAGAUAUUGGGAAGAACACCGAUGGCGAAGGCAGCUUUCUGGAACGGUACUGACGCUGAGACGCGAAAGCGUGGGGAGCAAACA
RNAcentral lists this ribosomal RNA (426 nucleotides) under uncultured Actinomycetes bacterium. Its description in RNAcentral is "uncultured actinobacterium partial 16S ribosomal RNA". It matches the Rfam family "Bacterial small subunit ribosomal RNA", at positions 355 to 774 of the family's 1533-position model. Lineage: Bacteria; Bacillati; Actinomycetota; Actinomycetes. The record is from RNAcentral.